UACAGAGGGUGCAAGCGUUAAUCGGAUUUACUGGGCGUAAAGCGUGCGCAGGUGGUUUCGUAAGUCGGAUGUGAAAGCCCCGGGCUCAACCUGGGAACUGCAUUCGAUACUGCGAGACUCGAGUUUGGUAGAGGGUGGCGGAAUUCCCGGUGUAGCGGUGAAAUGCGUAGAUAUCGGGAGGAACAUCAAUGGCGAAGGCAGCCACCUGGGCCUGAACUGACACUGAGGCACGAAAGCGUGGGUAGCAAACAGG
RNAcentral lists this ribosomal RNA (253 nucleotides) under uncultured bacterium. RNAcentral describes it as "partial 16S ribosomal RNA". It matches the Rfam family "Bacterial small subunit ribosomal RNA", at positions 524 to 776 of the family's 1533-position model. The record is from RNAcentral.